GAUGAAGAACGUAGCGAAAUGCGAUAAGUAAUGUGAAUUGCAGAAUUCAGUGAAUCAUCGAAUCUUUGAACGCACAUUGCGCCCGCCAGUAUUCUGGCGGGCAUGCCUGUUCGAGCGUCAUUUCAACCAUCAAGCCCCAGGCUUGUGUUGGGGACCUGCGGCUGCCGCAGGCCCUGAAAACCAGUGGCGGGCUCGCUGUCACACCGGGCGUAGUAGAUUUUAUCUCGCUCAGGGCGUGCUGCGGGUUCCGGCCGUUAAAAAGCCUUUUUUACCCAAGGUUGACCUCGGAUCAGGUAGGAAGACCCGCUGAACUUAAGCAUAUCAAUAAGCGGAGGGA
This 337-nucleotide unclassified non-coding RNA is filed under the name soil metagenome. RNAcentral describes it as "partial contains 5.8S ribosomal RNA, internal transcribed spacer 2, and large subunit ribosomal RNA". The stretch from base 1 to 120 matches the Rfam family "5.8S ribosomal RNA", at positions 35 to 154 of the family's 154-position model. The record is from RNAcentral.